Non-coding RNA from Vicia faba (fava bean), 454 nucleotides. The record is from the annotation of a GenBank genome assembly. Lineage: Eukaryota; Viridiplantae; Streptophyta; Magnoliopsida; Fabales; Fabaceae.
AUGCAGAUCUUCGUCAAGACUUUAACCGGAAAGACCAUCACUCUCGAGGUUGAGAGCAGCGACACCAUCGACAACGUCAAGGCCAAGAUCCAGGACAAGGAAGGUAUCCCUCCUGACCAGCAGAGGUUGAUUUUUGCCGGUAAGCAGCUGGAAGAUGGUCGCACUCUUGCUGAUUAUAACAUUCAAAAGGAAUCAACGCUUCACUUGGUCCUGAGGCUCAGAGGAGGAACCAUGAUUAAAGUGAAGACUUUAACUGGAAAGGAAAUUGAAAUUGACAUUGAGCCUACUGAUACAAUUGACCGUAUCAAGGAACGUGUAGAAGAAAAAGAGGGAAUUCCACCUGUGCAGCAAAGGCUCAUAUAUGCUGGUAAGCAGCUUGCUGAUGACAAAACAGCUAAAGAGUACAACAUUGAGGGUGGUUCUGUCCUUCACUUGGUGCUUGCAUUGAGGGGUG